GUUUUAGGCUGGGUUUCUGUACAGCACUUUGAGAUAUCAGCUGAUGUACGAAGGGCUAUAUAAAUAAAUUUGAUUUGAUUUGAAGAACCUCUGAAAGCAAACAAGGAUAUAUAUAUUUUUUAAGACUUUUACGUUGAUGAAAGAAUCUACUGUGAUAGAGGCAUGUUUUUAUUUCAAAAAAUAUAUUUUUGAACUUUCCAGUUUUUUUUCUCCUAGCGAGAUUAAGAGACCUUGCAUCAAGACCUUCUUUACUGCAACCAAUAACUUCCUGUUUUGAACAGGAAGUUAUUCUACCAUCAACUGGAAAGUGGAAGUUCUUUGUUUGUUUUGAAGAGGACACUUCCACUAACAUUCUUAGCUGUUUCUCUGACACCUGUGAGCCUCGGUUAAAAACGUGAUGUGUGUUUCCAGUCCCUAAAGCAGCGUGGUCUCAUCCCUUCUCUACUGUUUCAACUCUUCACAAAUGAAAACAUCUAAUCGCCAAAGUGGUGAAGAAGGAGGUCAUCUACAGAUGACAGGAGCAGUGGCUUGUUUCUUCCAGAAGACUUGAGGAUGCAACUUCUCAGUCGUGAUGACGAGGUGGCAUCUCUACUGGUGAUGACGAGGUGACAUCUCUACUGGUGAUGACGAGGUGGCCUCUACUGGUGAUGAGGUGGCAUCUCUACUGGUGAUGACUAGGUGGCAUCUCUACCAGCAUCUCUGCUAGUGAUGACGAGGUGGCAUCUCUACUGGUGAUGAC
Oncorhynchus tshawytscha (Chinook salmon) is the source of this 739-nucleotide long non-coding RNA. The record is from Ensembl. NCBI's taxonomy places the organism in Eukaryota, Metazoa, Chordata, Actinopteri, Salmoniformes, Salmonidae.